This 253-nucleotide ribosomal RNA is filed under the name uncultured bacterium. RNAcentral describes it as "partial 16S ribosomal RNA". It matches the Rfam family "Bacterial small subunit ribosomal RNA", at positions 524 to 776 of the family's 1533-position model. The record is from RNAcentral.
UACGUAGGUGGCAAGCGUUGUCCGGAUUUACUGGGCGUAAAGGGCGCGCAGGCGGUCUGUUAAGUGCAGGGUGAAAGCUCCCGGCUCAACUGGGAGAGGUCCUUGCAUACUGGCGGACUUGAGGGGGGUAGAGGAAAGUGGAAUUCCCGGUGUAGUGGUGAUAUGCGUAGAUAUCGGGAGGAACACCUGUGGCGAAGGCGGCUUUCUGGGCCCUACCUGACGCUGAGACGCGAAAGCGUGGGGAGCGAACCGG